UUCCAGACUCCUACGGGAGGCAGCAGUGGGGAAUAUUGGACAAUGGGGGGAACCCUGAUCCAGCGACGCCGCGUGAGUGAAGAAGUAUUUCGGUAUGUAAAGCUCUAUCAGCAGGGAAGAAAGAAAUGACGGUACCUGACUAAGAAGCCCCGGCUAACUACGUGCCAGCAGCCGCGGUAAUACGUAGGGGGUAAGCGUUAUCCGGAUUUACUGGGUGUAAAGGGAGCGUAGACGGCGAUGCAAGUCUGAAGUGAAAGCCCGGGGCCCAACCCCGGGACUGCUCUUGGAACUGCGUGGCUGGAGUGCAGGAGGGGCAGGCGGAAUUCCUGGUGUAGCGGUGAAAUGCGUAGAUAUCAGGAGGAACACCGGUGGCGAAGGCGGCCUGCUGGACUGCAACUGACGUUGAGGCCCGAAAGCGUGGGGAGCAAACAGGAUUAGAUACCCUAGUA
Molecule: ribosomal RNA, 449 nt
Filed under: uncultured bacterium
Lineage: Bacteria
Description: partial 16S ribosomal RNA
Rfam family: Bacterial small subunit ribosomal RNA
Source: RNAcentral